This 120-nucleotide ribosomal RNA is filed under the name uncultured bacterium. RNAcentral describes it as "partial 16S ribosomal RNA". It matches the Rfam family "Bacterial small subunit ribosomal RNA", at positions 1365 to 1482 of the family's 1533-position model. The record is from RNAcentral.
AAUACGUUCCCGGGCCUUGUACACACCGCCCGUCACACCACGAAAGCCGGUGGAACCAGAAGUCGGUAACCCAACCCGCAAGGGAGGGAGCCGCCCAAGGUUUGGCCGGUGAUUGGGGUG